GAAUAUUGGACAAUGGGCGCAAGCCUGAUCCAGCCAUACCGCGUGGGUGAAGAAGGCCUUCGGGUUGUAAAGCCCUUUUGUUGGGAAAGAAAAGCAGUCGAUUACUACUCGGUUGUUCUGACGGUACCCAACGAAUAAACCACGGCUAACUUCGUCCCAGCAUCCGCGGUAAUACGAAGGGUGCAAGCGUUACUCGGAAUUACUGGGCGUAAAGCGUGCGUAGGUGGUUGUUUAAGUCUGUUGUGAAAGCCCUGGGCUCAACCUGGGAAUUGCAGUGGAUACUGGGCGACUAGAGUGUGGUAGAGGGUAGUGGAAUUCCCGGUGUAGCAGUGAAAUGCGUAGAGAUCGGGAGGAACAUCCAUGGCGAAGGCAGCUACCUGGACCAACACUGACACUGAGGCACGAAAGCGUGGGGAGCAAACA
This 423-nucleotide ribosomal RNA is filed under the name uncultured bacterium. RNAcentral's name for it is "bacterial SSU rRNA". It matches the Rfam family "Bacterial small subunit ribosomal RNA", at positions 359 to 774 of the family's 1533-position model. The record is from RNAcentral.